GACGAACGCUGGCGGCGUGCUUAACACAUGCAAGUCGUACGGUAAGGCCCUUUCGGGGGUACACGAGUGGCGAACGGGUGAGUAACACGUGAGUAACCUGCCCACAACUUUGGGAUAACGCUAGGAAACUGGUGCUAAUACUGGAUAUGUGCCCCUGCUGCAUGGUGGGGGUUGGAAAGCUCCGGCGGUUGUGGAUGGACUCGCGGCCUAUCAGCUUGUUGGUGGGGUAGUGGCCUACCAAGGCGGCGACGGGUAGCCGGCCUGAGAGGGUGACCGGCCACAUUGGGACUGAGAUACGGCCCAGACUCCUACGGGAGGCAGCAGUGGGGAAUAUUGCACAAUGGGCGCAAGCCUGAUGCAGCAACGCCGCGGGCGGGAUGACGGCCUUCGGGUUGUAAACCGCUUUCAGCAGGGACGAAGCUUUUUGUGACGGUACCAGCAGAAGAAGCACCGGCUAACUACGUG
Molecule: ribosomal RNA, 465 nt
Filed under: uncultured bacterium
Lineage: Bacteria
Description: partial 16S ribosomal RNA
Rfam family: Bacterial small subunit ribosomal RNA
Source: RNAcentral